GGUUAAGCGACUAAGCGUACACGGUGGAUGCCCUGGCAGUCAGAGGCGAUGAAGGACGUGCUAAUCUGCGAUAAGCGCCGGUAAGGUGAUAUGAACCGUUAUAACCGGCGAUUUCCGAAUGGGGAAACCCAGUGUGAUUCGUCACACUAUCAUUAACUGAAUCCAUAGGUUAAUGAGGCGAACCGGGGGAACUGAAACAUCUAAGUACCCCGAGGAAAAGAAAUCAACCGAGAUUCCCCCAGUAGCGGCGAGCGAACGGGGAGGAGCCCAGAGCCUGAAUCAGCAUGUGUGUUAGUGGAAGCGUCUGGAAAGGCGCGCGAUACAGGGUGACAGCCCCGUACACAAAAGCGCAUGUGCUGUGAGCUCGAUGAGUAGGGCGGGACACGUGGUAUCCUGUCUGAAUAUGGGGGGACCAUCCUCCAAGGCUAAAUACUCCUGACUGACCGAUAGUGAACCAGUACCGUGAGGGAAAGGCGAAAAGAACCCCGGCGAGGGGAGUGAAAAAGAACCUGAAACCGUGUACGUACAAGCAGUGGGAGCACAGGUUUACCUGUGUGACUGCGUACCUUUUGUAUAAUGGGUCAGCGACUUAUAUUCUGUAGCAAGGUUAACCGUAUAGGGGAGCCGUAGGGAAACCGAGUCUUAACCGGGCGUUAAGUUGCAGGGUAUAGACCCGAAACCCGGUGAUCUAGCCAUGGGCAGGUUGAAGGUUGGGUAACACUAACUGGAGGACCGAACCGACUAAUGUUGAAAAAUUAGCGGAUGACCUGUGGCUGGGGGUGAAAGGCCAAUCAAACCGGGAGAUAGCUGGUUCUCCCCGAAAGCUAUUUAGGUAGCGCCUCGUGAAUUCAUCUCCGGGGGUAGAGCACUGUUUCGGCUAGGGGGCCAUCCCGGCUUACCAACCCGAUGCAAACUGCGAAUACCGGAGAAUGUUAUCACGGGAGACACACGGCGGGUGCUAACGUCCGUCGUGAAGAGGGAAACAACCCAGACCGCCAGCUAAGGUCCCAAAGUCAUGGUUAAGUGGGAAACGAUGUGGGAAGGCCCAGACAGCCAGGAUGUUGGCUUAGAAGCAGCCAUCAUUUAAAGAAAGCGUAAUAGCUCACUGGUCGAGUCGGCCUGCGCGGAAGAUGUAACGGGGCUAAACCAUGCACCGAAGCUGCGGCAGCGAACGUAUCACCCAAGACAACUUUACGGAGUUGACGAUUGACGGAGCGAAGCGACGUCAAAGCGUUCAUUAAAGUCGAGUUGGCUUAGGGAUACGUUCGUUGGGUAGGGGAGCGUUCUGUAAGCCUGUGAAGGUGUGUCGUGAGGCAUGCUGGAGGUAUCAGAAGUGCGAAUGCUGACAUAAGUAACGAUAAAGCGGGUGAAAAGCCCGCUCGCCGGAAGACCAAGGGUUCCUGUCCAACGUUAAUCGGGGCAGGGUGAGUCGACCCCUAAGGCGAGGCCGAAAGGCGUAGUCGAUGGGAAACGGGUUAAUAUUCCCGUACUUGGUGUUACUGCGAAGGGGGGACGGAGAAGGCUAUGUUGGCCGGGCGACGGUUGUCCCGGUUUAAGCGUGUAGGUGUGUGUUCCAGGUAAAUCCGGUUCACUUUAACACUGAGGCGUGACGACGAGGCACUACGGUGCUGAAGCAACAAAUGCCCUGCUUCCAGGAAAAGCCUCUAAGCAUCAGGUAACACGAAAUCGUACCCCAAACCGACACAGGUGGUCAGGUAGAGAAUACCAAGGCGCUUGAGAGAACUCGGGUGAAGGAACUAGGCAAAAUGGUGCCGUAACUUCGGGAGAAGGCACGCUGACACGUAGGUGAAGUGAUUUACUCAUGGAGCUGAAGUCAGUCGAAGAUACCAGCUGGCUGCAACUGUUUAUUAAAAACACAGCACUGUGCAAACACGAAAGUGGACGUAUACGGUGUGACGCCUGCCCGGUGCCGGAAGGUUAAUUGAUGGGGUCAGCGCAAGCGAAGCUCCUGAUCGAAGCCCCGGUAAACGGCGGCCGUAACUAUAACGGUCCUAAGGUAGCGAAAUUCCUUGUCGGGUAAGUUCCGACCUGCACGAAUGGCGUAAUGAUGGCCAGGCUGUCUCCACCCGAGACUCAGUGAAAUUGAACUCGCUGUGAAGAUGCAGUGUACCCGCGGCAAGACGGAAAGACCCCGUGAACCUUUACUAUAGCUUGACACUGAACAUUGAGCCUUGAUGUGUAGGAUAGGUGGGAGGCUUUGAAGUGUGGACGCCAGUCUGCAUGGAGCCGACCUUGAAAUACCACCCUUUAAUGUUUGAUGUUCUAACGUGGACCCGUAAUCCGGGUUGCGGACAGUGUCUGGUGGGUAGUUUGACUGGGGCGGUCUCCUCCUAAAGAGUAACGGAGGAGCACGAAGGUUGGCUAAUCCUGGUCGGACAUCAGGAGGUUAGUGCAAUGGCAUAAGCCAGCUUGACUGCGAGCGUGACGGCGCGAGCAGGUGCGAAAGCAGGUCAUAGUGAUCCGGUGGUUCUGAAUGGAAGGGCCAUCGCUCAACGGAUAAAAGGUACUCCGGGGAUAACAGGCUGAUACCGCCCAAGAGUUCAUAUCGACGGCGGUGUUUGGCACCUCGAUGUCGGCUCAUCACAUCCUGGGGCUGAAGUAGGUCCCAAGGGUAUGGCUGUUCGCCAUUUAAAGUGGUACGCGAGCUGGGUUUAGAACGUCGUGAGACAGUUCGGUCCCUAUCUGCCGUGGGCGCUGGAGAACUGAGGGGGGCUGCUCCUAGUACGAGAGGACCGGAGUGGACGCAUCACUGGUGUUCGGGUUGUCAUGCCAAUGGCACUGCCCGGUAGCUAAAUGCGGAAGAGAUAAGUGCUGAAAGCAUCUAAGCACGAAACUUGCCCCGA
Molecule: ribosomal RNA, 2864 nt
Filed under: Salmonella enterica subsp. enterica serovar Typhimurium
Lineage: Bacteria; Pseudomonadati; Pseudomonadota; Gammaproteobacteria; Enterobacterales; Enterobacteriaceae
Description: partial 23S ribosomal RNA
Rfam family: Bacterial large subunit ribosomal RNA
Source: RNAcentral